This 492-nucleotide ribosomal RNA is filed under the name uncultured bacterium. Its description in RNAcentral is "partial 16S ribosomal RNA". It matches the Rfam family "Bacterial small subunit ribosomal RNA", at positions 29 to 507 of the family's 1533-position model. The record is from RNAcentral.
AGUGAACGCUGGCGGUAGGCCUAACACAUGCAAGUCGAACGGCAGCACAGUAAGAGCUUGCUCUUACGGGUGGCGAGUGUCGGACGGGUGAGGAAUACAUCGGAAUCUACUUUUUCGUGGGGGAUAACGUAGGGAAACUUACGCUAAUACCGCAUACGACCUACGGGUGAAAGCAGGGGAUCUUCGGACCUUGCGCGAUUGAAUGAGCCGAUGUCGGAUUAGCUAGUUGGCGGGGUAAAGGCCCACCAAGGCGACGAUCCGUAGCUGGUCUGAGAGGAUGAUCAGCCACACUGGAACUGAGACACGGUCCAGACUCCUACGGGAGGCAGCAGUGGGGAAUAUUGGACAAUGGGCGCAAGCCUGAUCCAGCCAUACCGCGUGGGUGAAGAAGGCCUUCGGGUUGUAAAGCCCUUUUGUUGGGAAAGAAAAGCAGCAGGUUAAUACCCCGCUGUCCUGACGGUACCCAAAGAAUAAGCACCGGCUAACUUCGUG